GCAGAACUAACUUCAAAGCACAAAUGAGAGAACAACAUGGUAGUAGAAGACACAUGUUUAAGAAAGACCUUCUAGAAGGGACUUAAACAAGGUUUAGUAGAAGAGAAAACAAAGAACUUAAAACCUUGGUAGAAAAUACAGUAGAGGAACACAAGUAUAUCAGAAAAACCUAGAAAAAGAACAUAUAGGGAAACACAGCAAGAUAAACAUGUGAGAGCAUAGUUUAGAAACACAAUAAAUAAAUGAAACAUAGAUAGCACAGGAGAACAUGUAGAGUAGUAGGAAAGCAUAAGAAAGCAGUACAAGCACAUGCGUGGUAAAAGGACAUAAACAUAUGAGCACAACGGAGACAAAUACUCCAAAGAAAGAAAAAGAAAAGUCAUAGAAACAUUUUAAACCUUUCUGAAAACCCUAAAGCGAAGAGAAAUGGUUUUAAAAAGAUAAUUUUUGAAAGAAAAAUUGGGGAAACCGUUUAAAAACCCAAGUAGAGUACAAAUACAUGACAAAUAUAAGAAAAAAUUGGAGAGACACUCGAGUAGGCAGGGUUUCAGAAGAACCGUAGAAUGAGAAAGGCUUGGAAAAGGUCUGAUCUGAGACGGAUAGGUUAGAACCAGGCUCAAAACACCAUUGUGUACUGGAGCUAGGCCAGAUAUGGCCAUAAUAAAAUUGACCAGUGAAGAUUUGAACCGACACCUUCGAGGUCGGACCUCGAACCUUCGAAUACCAAGUUUUUAAGAGCAGAUGGAGAUGAGUUUAAGCCUUCCAUGGCUUGAGAGGCCAUGGAUUCCGUUGAGAUUGAGGUUGAAGAUGCUAAGAGAUGCUAGGGUUUCGAGAGAGUUUGAGAGGAUAAGGAUUCCAGAGGCAGCUGUUUGAGUGGAAUGAAAAGGAAAGGAA
This 894-nucleotide long non-coding RNA is filed under the name Nicotiana benthamiana. RNAcentral's name for it is "long non-coding RNA (NBEN_LNC022157)". Lineage: Eukaryota; Viridiplantae; Streptophyta; Magnoliopsida; Solanales; Solanaceae. The record is from RNAcentral.